CCCCCCCAUUAGAAUCAAACUUUAACCAAGAUGUGACAUACUUGUUGUUAAGAAGCCCAAAACCGAAAGCUAUUCUAACCAACCCACUUGAACCCACGACAGUUAGAGCACAAACUGGGAUUAGAUACCCCACUAUAUCUAGCUGUAAAAUAUUUAUUUACACCACACCUCGCCAGGGAAUUACGAGCUCAAGCUUAAAACCCAAAGGACUUGACGGUGCCCCACCCACCUAGAGGAGCCUGUUCUAUAAUCGACUCCCCCCGAUAUACCUCACCACUUCUAGCCUCUCAGCCUGUAUACCUCCGUCGUAAGUUUACCCUAUGAACGCUGACUAGUAAACUAAAAGGACCCCCCCCCCC
RNAcentral lists this ribosomal RNA (359 nucleotides) under Kaloula sp. Panay. RNAcentral describes it as "12S ribosomal RNA". It matches the Rfam family "Bacterial small subunit ribosomal RNA", at positions 648 to 1112 of the family's 1533-position model. The record is from RNAcentral. Lineage: Eukaryota; Metazoa; Chordata; Amphibia; Anura; Microhylidae.